AUGAACGCUGGCGGCGUGCUUAACACCUGCAAGUCGCACGAUGAAGCCCAGCUUGCUGGGUGGAUUAGUGGCGAACGGGUGAGUAACACGUGAGUAACCUGCCCUUGACUCUGGGAUAAGCCUGGGAAACUGGGUCUAAUACUGGAUAUGACUUCUCAUCGCAUGGUGGGGGGUGGAGAGAUUUAUUGGUCUUGGAUGGACUCGCGGCCUAUCAGCUUGUUGGUGAGGUAAUGGCUCACCAAGGCGACGACGGGUAGCCGGCCUGAGAGGGUGACCGGCCACACUGGGACUGAGACACGGCCCAGACUCCUACGGGAGGCAGCAGUGGGGAAUAUUGCACAAUGGGCGCAAGCCUGAUGCAGCGACGCCGCGUGAGGGAUGACGGCCUUCGGGUUGUAAACCUCUUUCAGUAGGGAAGAAGCGAGAGUGACGGUACCUGCAGAAGAAGCGCCGGCUAACUACGUG
RNAcentral lists this ribosomal RNA (465 nucleotides) under uncultured bacterium. RNAcentral describes it as "partial 16S ribosomal RNA". It matches the Rfam family "Bacterial small subunit ribosomal RNA", at positions 29 to 507 of the family's 1533-position model. The record is from RNAcentral.